AGAGUUUAGUCAUGGCUCAGGAUGAACGCUAGCGGCGUGCUUAACGCAUGCAAGUCGAACGGGAUCCUUGAAUUCGUUCAGGGUGAGAGUGGCGAACGGGUGAGUAACACGUUGGUGACCUGCCUCAAAGAGGGGGACAACCACUGGAAACGGUGGCUAAUACCCCAGAUGUCAUCCUUGUUAGAGAGGGGUGACUAAAGCUCAGGCGCUUUGAGAGGGGCCAGCGUCCCAUCAGCUAGCUGGUAAGGUAACGGCUUACCAGGGCGAAGACGGGUAGGGGACGUGAGAGCGUGAACCCCCACACUGGUACUGACACACGGACCAGAUACCUACGGGUAGCAGCAGCGAGGAAUCUUGCGCAAUGGGCGAAAGCCUGACGCAGCAACGCCGCGUGGAGGAUGAAGGCCUUCGGGUUGUAAACUCCUUUUCUGGGGAAAUAGAAAGGAAGGUACCUCAGGAAUAAGCUCCGGCUAACUACGUGCCAGCAGCCGCGGUAAAACGUAGGGAGCGAGCGUUAUCCGGAAUUACUGGGCGUAAAGCGCACGCAGGCGGUCUGAUAAGUUGGAUGUGA
Molecule: ribosomal RNA, 571 nt
Filed under: uncultured Chloroflexota bacterium
Lineage: Bacteria; Bacillati; Chloroflexota
Description: bacterial SSU rRNA
Rfam family: Bacterial small subunit ribosomal RNA
Source: RNAcentral